AUUCUCAACACCAGUUUAUUCACUUCAGUUCUUGUUCCUGUGUAUGUAGUUCUCUAUUAAUUCACAAAAGUAAGAAAAAAAGACAAUUAGAGAUAAAACGAAAUGCCUGUUUGACAGCCUUCAGCCUCCCAUGCUCCACAUGCGACUCCUCCCAUGGGGUGGCUGGGCAUCGUCCUGCUCCUUUUAUAGCCGACUGCCUGACAGGCACACUUCACUCUGUAUUUAGCCAUUUCCCUUCUGGAUAGUUCUUUGGUUCCCAGGAGGACAGACUGAGAUGGAGAUGGGUGUGCCCCAGGGACCUCCGCCUCUAAGGGAGAGAAGGAGCUGGACCGGACAGAGGGAGAAGUUGAAUGUGAUGCAGCUGCAAUGUGCUCAGCCAUUUCCCAGGGGAGCUUGGGGUUGGGAGGGCCCUGCAGAGUUAUUCCAGGCCGUCGUACCCCAGGUCAACCAGACACUGGGUGUAGGUUGUACCCCGGAGAGGGCACACCCUUGACAAGUCGCUCCUGGGGUGGGACUGGCUCUGAUUGCUAGUGACACUGCAAUGCUCAUCUUUGAAUGCACCUCCACCUGCUCGUGUACACGUGAGUCUCCAGAGUGGGGGCUGGGAAAUGUUUCUGGGUCUUUCAGCUAAUUGAUGUGGCCAACUUGUUGUCCAGGUAACUGAAUUCAUCUACAGUCCCACCACUCCCCCAUCCUUGCCAACGUUUUCUGUUGUCACGUUGUUUCCUUUUUGUAAAUCUAAUGAGAAUG
Long non-coding RNA from Choloepus didactylus (southern two-toed sloth), 750 nucleotides. RefSeq lists it as uncharacterized. The record is from RefSeq and is a predicted model, not a curated record. The transcript has 2 exons. NCBI's taxonomy places the organism in Eukaryota, Metazoa, Chordata, Mammalia, Pilosa, Megalonychidae.